This 391-nucleotide ribosomal RNA is filed under the name uncultured bacterium. RNAcentral describes it as "partial 16S ribosomal RNA". It matches the Rfam family "Bacterial small subunit ribosomal RNA", at positions 338 to 721 of the family's 1533-position model. The record is from RNAcentral.
CCUACGGGGGGCUGCAGUAGGGAAUCUUCCACAAUGGGCGAAAGCCUGAUGGAGCAACGCCGCGUGGGUGAAGAAGGUCUUCGGAUCGUAAAACCCUGUUGUUAGAGAAGAAAGUGCGUGAGAGUAACUGUUCCCGUUUCGACGGUAUCUAACCAGAAAGCCACGGCUAACUACGUGCCAGCAGCCGCGGUAAUACGUAGGUGGCAAGCGUUAUCCGGAUUUAUUGGGGGUAAAGGGAACGCAGGCGGUCUUUUAAGUCUGAGGUGAAAGGCUUCGGCUUAACCGGAGUAGUGCAUUGGAAACUGGGAGACUGGAGUGCAGAAGAGGAGAGUGGAACUCCAUGUGUAGCGGUGAAAUGCGUAGAUAUAGGGAAGAACACCAGUGGCGAAAG